This 279-nucleotide ribosomal RNA is filed under the name uncultured bacterium. RNAcentral's name for it is "partial 16S ribosomal RNA". It matches the Rfam family "Bacterial small subunit ribosomal RNA", at positions 506 to 784 of the family's 1533-position model. The record is from RNAcentral.
UGCCAGCAGCCGCGGUAAGACAGAGGUCUCGAGCGUUAUCCGGAUUCACUGGGCGUAAAGGGCGUCUAGGCGGUCUCGUGUGUCACCUGUGAAAGCUCCCGGCUCAACCGGGAGAGGUCGGGUGAAACUACGAGACUCGAGCUUCGGAGGGGAGAAUGGAACUUCCAGAGUAACGGUGAAAUGUGCAGAUACUGGAAGGUACCUCGAUAGCGAAGGCAGUUCUCUGGCCGACAGCUGACGCUGAAGCGCGAAAGCGUGGGGAGCGAACCGGAUUAGAUA